Molecule: transfer RNA, 84 nt
Filed under: Gemmatimonadaceae bacterium
Lineage: Bacteria; Pseudomonadati; Gemmatimonadota; Gemmatimonadia; Gemmatimonadales; Gemmatimonadaceae
Also listed under: 2 other names
Description: tRNA-Leu
Rfam family: tRNA
About the family: Transfer RNA (tRNA) molecules are approximately 80 nucleotides in length. Their secondary structure includes four short double-helical elements and three loops (D, anti-codon, and T loops). Further hydrogen bonds mediate the characteristic L-shaped molecular structure. tRNAs have two regions of fundamental functional importance: the anti-codon, which is responsible for specific mRNA codon recognition, and the 3' end, to which the tRNAs corresponding amino acid is attached (by aminoacyl-tRNA synthetases). tRNAs cope with the degeneracy of the genetic code in two manners: having more than one tRNA (with a specific anti-codon) for a particular amino acid; and 'wobble' base-pairing, i.e. permitting non-standard base-pairing at the 3rd anti-codon position.
Source: RNAcentral
GCUCGGGUGGCGAAACCGGUAGACGCGAGGGACUUAAAAUCCCUUGGGCCAAAGCCCAUGCGGGUUCGAUCCCCGCCCCGAGCA